Cephalotrichum gorgonifer is the source of this 72-nucleotide non-coding RNA. The record is from the annotation of a GenBank genome assembly. NCBI's taxonomy places the organism in Eukaryota, Fungi, Ascomycota, Sordariomycetes, Microascales, Microascaceae.
AGCAUUGUAGCUCAGAGGUAGAGCACUGGGCUCAUAACCCAGGGGUCCUAGGAUCGACACCUAGCAAUGCUA